CGCUCUCCUCGUUAUUGCAGACCUAUUACGGGAGGUCUGCAAUACCCAGCUUUCUCCCAGAGCAUUCUGCCCUAGCUGCCCGAGGGACUAGUGCAGCUGGCUGGGAGGUUUGCCUGCAUCAGCACGGUCGUCUACUCACAGGUAACGUGCAUCCUGAACCACCGAUGGCAGACGGUAUUUUUCCAAAGACAACUGCAACAAUAACUCCCAUUUCACGUGCUCUUCUGCGAUGUGACCUGUCAUGACUCCAUCAGCAAUGGAGAAUCCAUAGAUAUUUGUAUGUCACCCUCCCCUUGAAUCUGGGUGAGCCUUUCACUGCUUUGGCCAAGAGAGUGUGGUCAGAGUGACGGUAUGGGUCCCCACAGGUGAUUCAGCUUCUGCUUUGUUUGCUGGGAACACUUGCAUUUGGAUCCCUGAGGCUGCCAUGCUGGGAGGAAGCCAGACCCCACGCAGAGGACGCACGCAGGGGCUCGGGUCUGUGCUCAUCACGGCAUCUUAGCCCGGGUGCCAGGUGUGGGAGGGAGGCCACCCCAGAGGACUCCAGCCUCCAGCCUUUGCAGCAGCCUCAAGUGUGAAGCCUUCUUAGCUGAGAUCUCAGACAUCACGGAGCAGAGUCAACACAUCCAAAUUCCUGAUCCACAUAAUCUGUGACCAGAGUAAAAACGAUUGUUUUAAGCUGCUAUAUUUUCAGAUCGUUUAUUAUGAAGUUAACUGGAACGCUUUCUUUCAAGGAGAAAGUUCUAUUAUUUUAAACCUUUUCUGGAGUGAACAUAUGAAAAAAAUUGUUUUUUGAUGAACAUAAAAUAUGGGCCUUCUUCACAAUAAUUCACGGGAGUAACUUGAAAAAUAGACAUUUCAAAUUAUAUGUAUUUUUAUGAGCUGAUGGGCGAGGCCUGGAACUGGC
Molecule: long non-coding RNA, 904 nt
Filed under: Felis catus (domestic cat)
Lineage: Eukaryota; Metazoa; Chordata; Mammalia; Carnivora; Felidae
Description: lncRNA (ENSFCAG00000051800.1)
Source: RNAcentral